Molecule: long non-coding RNA, 1295 nt
Filed under: Volvox carteri
Lineage: Eukaryota; Viridiplantae; Chlorophyta; Chlorophyceae; Chlamydomonadales; Volvocaceae
Description: long non-coding RNA (VCAR_LNC001338)
Source: RNAcentral
UGUAAAGUCCACUAUGGCAGUGCGGGAAUAAGCUUCGGGCGACUGCGUCAACAACUUAUCACCCCCAGGGGGCUUAGUUUAGCUUAGUCUAGAGAUGGGGGAGAGGGUGCCCAACCAUUUGGCAUUUGGCCAAAACAGGCCCUUCAUCUCAAGAGCGCCCGCUUCAUAAACCCGUUUUGGUGCACACGCAAUUGUUACCCCUCUCCCCCCAACAGUACACUCAGUCCGCGGACACAUGCACACUGCCACAUGGUUACCACUCCAGCAACAUACAUACAUACAUACAUACAUACAUACAUACAUACAUACAUACAUACAUACAUACAUACACACCACCGACACAAUUUACUAAAAAUUAGUGGUGAGAGGUUACCCUGUUACCCCGCAGACGAUGCAAGACAUCUUAAAGUGUCAUGUUCCGUACACACUCAAUAUGCAGAUUCCUCCGUCCAAUAAUAAUAACAACGAUAAUAAUACCAAAUCGUUGCUGCUGCUGCUCCUCCGUCUUGCUCGUUUGUGUAACACACGCACACACACAUUACACAUUACACGCACACAGGGAGGAGCCGCCGCGCUUGACCCAAUACACCGACAUGCGACAUACAUACAUACAGACAGGCGGCUGGCAGAAGUUAAGGCCUGACUUCUGCUCCCAGUCGAUCCAGUCGACCCGGGUUCAAAUCCGCCUGCCAGCUCCUCGGGUGUUUGAGGAGUGAUGAAAUGGGAGGUGGCCCCCCAUCAUAUGGACGGUGUAGGACGUGAUAAUAUCAACUUGCGAGCUGACCAGGAACUAAGUUGAUGCGCCGUUGAUCCGCUAGAUUUGGUUGGAUGCUGGUGGUGAGUUGCCGAACCCAACGAAUACAUUCUGAAGUCGGAUGGGUUGACGGAUUAGGGUGCCCCUCUAGCAGGGGAGAGCAGGGACUGCCCCGGGAAAGGGGGCCGCUGGCGAAGUUAACCACCCUGUAACAACAUACAUACAGACAGACACACGUAAACGGAAAGCACAUCUACAACAGUGCGGCAGUCCAGCAGGUCCAUGAUUGGAGUGACGCUCAAUGACUACACAUUGUUACAUACAUAUUAGGGUUUUAGGGUUUAUAUCCUAUACACAUUAGGAUUAUUUUCAGAAAGCAGAAAUCCUAAAAGGGUUCUUCAUUCGUGCUUUGCCAUCUGCCCGCCGCCCCCGCCACCGCCACCGCCAGCGGCACUCGUCAAUGCCGCCUUCAACUCCUCCUCUGGACUAAGACGACGAGUUCCAACAUCCCUGCAACCGCCGCUCGGCCCAUGUGCCGUAC